RNAcentral lists this ribosomal RNA (389 nucleotides) under uncultured bacterium. RNAcentral's name for it is "bacterial SSU rRNA". It matches the Rfam family "Bacterial small subunit ribosomal RNA", at positions 30 to 417 of the family's 1533-position model. The record is from RNAcentral.
AUUGAACGCUGGCGGCAUGCUUUACACAUGCAAGUCGAACGGCAGCACGGGUGCUUGUACCUGGUGGCGAGUGGCGAACGGGUGAGUAAUGCAUCGGAACGUGCCCAUGAGUGGGGGAUAGCCCGGCGAAAGCCGGAUUAAUACCGCAUACGCCCUUAGGGGGAAAGCGGGGGAUCUUCGGACCUCGCGCUAUUGGAGCGGCCGAUGUCGGAUUAGCUAGUAGGUGAGGUAAAGGCUCAUCUAGGCGACGAUCCGUAGCUGGUCUGAGAGGAUGAUCAGCCACACUGGGACUGAGACACGGCCCAGACUCCUACGGGAGGCAGCAGUGGGGAAUUUUGGACAAUGGGCGCAAGCCUGAUCCAGCCAUGCCGCGUGAGUGAAGAAGGCCU